RNAcentral lists this ribosomal RNA (394 nucleotides) under uncultured Ehrlichia sp. RNAcentral's name for it is "bacterial SSU rRNA". It matches the Rfam family "Bacterial small subunit ribosomal RNA", at positions 97 to 527 of the family's 1533-position model. The record is from RNAcentral. Lineage: Bacteria; Pseudomonadati; Pseudomonadota; Alphaproteobacteria; Rickettsiales; Anaplasmataceae.
GGCAGACGGGUGAGUAACGCGUGGGAAUCUACCUUUUGCUACGGAAUAACGCAGGGAAACUUGUGCUAAUACCGUAUGUGUCCUUCGGGAGAAAGAUUUAUCGGCAAGAGAUGAGCCCGCGUUGGAUUAGCUAGUUGGUGGGGUAAAGGCCUACCAAGGCGACGAUCCAUAGCUGGUCUGAGAGGAUGAUCAGCCACAUUGGGACUGAGACACGGCCCAAACUCCUACGGGAGGCAGCAGUGGGGAAUAUUGGACAAUGGGCGCAAGCCUGAUCCAGCCAUGCCGCGUGAGUGAUGAAGGCCCUAGGGUUGUAAAGCUCUUUCACCGGAGAAGAUAAUGACGGUAUCCGGAGAAGAAGCCCCGGCUAACUUCGUUCCACAGCCGCGGUAAUACG